GACGAGGAGCUUGCUCCUCUGACGUUAGCGGCGGACGGGUGAGUAACACGUGGAUAACCUACCUAUAAGACUGGGAUAACUUCGGGAAACCGGAGCUAAUACCGGAUAAUAUAUUGAACCGCAUGGUUCAAUAGUGAAAGACGGUUUUGCUGUCACUUAUAGAUGGAUCCGCGCCGCAUUAGCUAGUUGGUAAGGUAACGGCUUACCAAGGCAACGAUGCGUAGCCGACCUGAGAGGGUGAUCGGCCACACUGGAACUGAGACACGGUCCAGACUCCUACGGGAGGCAGCAGUAGGGAAUCUUCCGCAAUGGGCGAAAGCCUGACGGAGCAACGCCGCGUGAGUGAUGAAGGUCUUCGGAUCGUAAAACUCUGUUAUUAGGGAAGAACAAAUGUGUAAGUAACUAUGCACGUCUUGACGGUACCUAAUCAGAAAGCCACGGCUAACUACGUGCCAGCAGCCGCGGUAAUACGUAGGUGGCAAGCGUUAUCCGGAAUUAUUGGGCGUAAAGCGCGCGUAGGCGGUUUUUUAAGUCUGAUGUGAAAGCCCACGGCUCAACCGUGGAGGGUCAUUGGAAACUGGAAAACUUGAGUGCAGAAGAGGAAAGUGGAAUUCCAUGUGUAGCGGUGAAAUGCGCAGAGAUAUGGAGGAACACCAGUGGCGAAGGCGACUUUCUGGUCUGUAACUGACGCUGAUGUGCGAAAGCGUGGGGAUCAAACAGGAUUAGAUACCCUGGUAGUCCACGCCGUAAACGAUGAGUGCUAAGUGUUAGGGGGUUUCCGCCCCUUAGUGCUGCAGCUAACGCAUUAAGCACUCCGCCUGGGGAGUACGACCGCAAGGUUGAAACUCAAAGGAAUUGACGGGGA
Molecule: ribosomal RNA, 865 nt
Filed under: Staphylococcus epidermidis
Lineage: Bacteria; Bacillati; Bacillota; Bacilli; Caryophanales; Staphylococcaceae
Description: bacterial SSU rRNA
Rfam family: Bacterial small subunit ribosomal RNA
Source: RNAcentral